Molecule: ribosomal RNA, 253 nt
Filed under: uncultured bacterium
Lineage: Bacteria
Description: partial 16S ribosomal RNA
Rfam family: Bacterial small subunit ribosomal RNA
Source: RNAcentral
UACAGAGGUCUCAAGCGUUGUUCGGAUUCAUUGGGCGUAAAGGGUGCGUAGGCGGCGCGGUAAGUCGGGUGUGAAAUCUCGGAGCUUAACUUCGAAACUGCAUUCGAUACUGCCGUGCUUGAGGACUGGAGAGGAGACUGGAAUUUACGGUGUAGCAGUGAAAUGCGUAGAUAUCGUAAGGAAGACCAGUGGCGAAGGCGGGUCUCUGGACAGUUCCUGACGCUGAGGCACGAAGGCCAGGGGAGCAAACGGG